UUAAAAUAAUAAUAAAAAAGAAAGUAUAAAACGAAAGAACCUUGUGGUCUAGGGAAGCAUAGGGCUCUGCCCAAUGAUGUAUAGUCCCUUUCCACAAUGUUGGAUAUGAAGCCAGGCUUUGUGUCUGCACCUGCAUAUUCCUACAGCUUCCCAGAGUCCUGUGGACAAUGACUGGGGAGAUAAACCAUGCAGGAAAUGUUA
Small nucleolar RNA from Dipodomys spectabilis (banner-tailed kangaroo rat), 201 nucleotides. RefSeq annotates it as small nucleolar RNA SNORA73 family. The transcript has a single exon. NCBI's taxonomy places the organism in Eukaryota, Metazoa, Chordata, Mammalia, Rodentia, Heteromyidae. The record is from RefSeq and is a predicted model, not a curated record.